AUGUCUUCUCUUUCCUCCCAGGGGCGAGGACGGAACCCCGUCCCGCCUCUUCCCGGCAGACAGACCCCCCCCCCCCCCGCCACCUCGCCCCAUCCCCACUACCGUUGGUCCAGGUCCAGGACCGCAGUGCGAAAGCCGGGCCGUGUGGAGCGAGCCACCCACUCUCAAUGGGGGAGCCGGGCGAUCUGGGCGACGCCGCCGUCUCCGGAGGCGGCGGUCGAAUCCGGCGGCGGGAUCGGAGGCGCGGCGCCGCCCCUCCCCGGGGAGAAGAGGCGGGGGGGGCGGGGGGGGGUCCGGCCCAGCCCCGGCCCGGCGGGUCGGCGGAAGCGGAAGGGUCUCCCCGAGCCGAGGCCCGACGCCGGUCCCUACCCCGGGCUCCUCCGGUCGUCCCGCUCUCUUCCGCGCCCCGCCGCCGCCGCCUCCUCCACCCCCGAUCUCCCUGCCCCCGGGACCCGGUCCUUCCCCCCGGUCCCGGUGCGCGGGAGUCACCGGAUGGCCAGCGGCGGGGGUCUCCCGUGUUCCGUUUCGCUUCGUCCUCCAAGUCGCCGCCCCCCUCGGGCGACCCCCCGCCGUCCGCGGAGAGAGCAAGCGGCGGAGCGCCGGAGCCGCUCGACGGAGAGGCCGAAGAGGCGGGCGGGGGCCGUACGUCGUCGGGGGCCGUCCGCCCCCCGACCCUCCCUCCGGACCCCCGCCGUCCCGAGGGCCCUCCGGCGCCCGAACCGUCAACGGCCCGAGCUUCGCCGCGAGCGUCGAUCGCCGUCGGCCGCGGGGCGCUGCGCCGGGCGCCCGGGGAGGCACGGCCGAACGGCGUCGGCGGCCGCGUCCCCCGGCCGCGGGGCGCUGGCGGUCCAAAAGGGGCCCGCGGACGCACCCCCGAUAGCCGGAGGGAGGGCCGUCGCCCUCCGGAUCCACCCCGUCCCGCUUCCGUCGCCUCGGCCUCUCCGGGGCCCGAAUCUCCCCGCCCUCGCUUGGAGAAGCCCGGGCCCGGUCCUCGGAGGAGGGUCGGUCGAGACGGCGGGCCGACGGCGUCCGCCGAGCGCUCGCCGCGUGCGCCGAGCGCUCGGGGGAGCGCGGCGCGACCCUGGGACGGACACGCCCCCCCGCCCGCGACGAGCUCCCGGUGGUCUCCGUCGAGAGAGGAUCCUCCGGCCUCGAGACCCCCCGCCUCGGAAGCAGCGUACCUCCUUCCCCUCUCCCCCUCUUCUCGUCCGGCCCUCCACGCGCGGGUCCUCGGGCGCGCCCCGGCCCGGUUCCCUCCCGUGGGCUCCGCUCAGGCCCGGGGAAGCCGUCGGAAGGGCAACGCGGAGGCCGCCCUCCCCUUGGCGUCCCGCGGGCCCUUCCUUCCCCUCCGCGGCCUCCGCGGCCCCGGCGCCCCCUUCCCGCCUCCUAGCCCCCAACCGCGGACGCUCUCCGCCCCACCCGCCCCGCGGCCCCUUCCCGGCCCGGUGCCCUCCCCGGCCCACGGCCCCUUCGUGGCCG
Molecule: long non-coding RNA, 1479 nt
Filed under: Ornithorhynchus anatinus (platypus)
Lineage: Eukaryota; Metazoa; Chordata; Mammalia; Monotremata; Ornithorhynchidae
Description: lncRNA (ENSOANG00000038234.1)
Source: RNAcentral